AUACGUAGGGAGCGAGCGUUGUCCGGAAUUACUGGGCGUAAAGGGCGCGUAGGCCGUGUUAUAAGUUAGUUGUAAAACGUGUGGGCUUAACCCGCAUUCGCAACUAAAACUGUAACGCUAGAGGCAUAGAGAGGCAGACGGAAUUCCUGGUGUAGCGGUGAAAUGCGUAGAUAUCAGGAAGAAUACCAGUGGCGAAGGCGGUUUGCUGGCUGCAUACUGACGCUGAAGCGCGAAAGCCAGGGGAGCAAACGGGAUUAGAUACCCCGGUAGUCCUGGCAGUAAACGAUGUAUGCUGGGUGUGGGAGUAGCGAUACCUCCGUGCCGAAGUUAACGCGAUAAGCAUACCGCCUGGGGAGUACGGUCGCAAGACUGAAACUCAAAGGAAUUGACGGGG
This 394-nucleotide ribosomal RNA is filed under the name uncultured bacterium. RNAcentral's name for it is "partial 16S ribosomal RNA". It matches the Rfam family "Bacterial small subunit ribosomal RNA", at positions 523 to 918 of the family's 1533-position model. The record is from RNAcentral.